RNAcentral lists this ribosomal RNA (468 nucleotides) under uncultured bacterium. Its description in RNAcentral is "partial 16S ribosomal RNA". It matches the Rfam family "Bacterial small subunit ribosomal RNA", at positions 28 to 507 of the family's 1533-position model. The record is from RNAcentral.
GACGAACGCUGGCGGCGUGCUUAACACAUGCAAGUCGAACGGAAAGGCCCUGCUUUUGUGGGGUGCUCGAGGGGCGAACGGGUGAGUAACACGUGAGUAACCUGCACUUGACUUUGGGAUAACUUCAGGAAACUGGGGCUAAUACCGGAUAGGAGCUCCUGCUGCUUGGUGGGGGUUGGAAAGUUUCGGUGGUUGGGGAUGGACUCGCGGCCUAUCAGCUUGUUGGUGGGGUAGUGGCUUACCAAGGCUUUGACGGGUAGCCGGCCUGAGAGGGUGACCGGCCACGUUAGGCCUGGAAUACGACCCGGACUCCAACGGUAGGCAACAGUGGAGAAUGGUGCACAAGGGGCGGAAGCCUAAUGUAGCAACGCCGCGUGCGGUAUGACGUCCUGCGGGUUGUAAACCACUUUCGCCUGUGACGAGGCGUGAGUGACGGUAAUGGGUGAAUAAGCACCGGCUAACUACGUG